RNAcentral lists this microRNA precursor (99 nucleotides) under Paramuricea clavata. Lineage: Eukaryota; Metazoa; Cnidaria; Anthozoa; Malacalcyonacea; Plexauridae. The record is from RNAcentral.
UUAAUCGCUACACAGUGUUUCACGCUUUCAAAGCGAUCUUCAGGCGAUAUAUGUAUCGCCUGAAGAUCGCUUUGAAAGCGUGAAACACUGUGUAGCGAU